GUAGGUGAACCUGCGGAAGGAUCAUUACUAGAGCAAAGGAUAGACAGCGCCCGCGGAGCUCGCUCCCGGGGCUACCCUACUCCCGUAGGGUUUAGAGUCGUCGGGCCUCUCGGAGAAGCUCGGUCCUGAACUCCACCCUUGAAUAAACUACCUUUGUUGCUUUGGCAGGCCGCCCUCGGGCACCGGCUUCGGCUGGGUUGCGCCU
RNAcentral lists this unclassified non-coding RNA (205 nucleotides) under plant metagenome. Its description in RNAcentral is "partial contains small subunit ribosomal RNA, internal transcribed spacer 1, and 5.8S ribosomal RNA". The record is from RNAcentral.